RNAcentral lists this ribosomal RNA (785 nucleotides) under uncultured bacterium. Its description in RNAcentral is "partial 16S ribosomal RNA". The record is from RNAcentral.
GAAAAUAAAUUUCCAACGUCUAACACACAUCGUUUACGGCAUGGACUACGAGGGUAUCUAAUCCUCUUCGCUACCCAUGCUUUCGUUCCUCAGUGUCAGUAAUGAUCCAGAAAGCUGCCUUCGCAAUUGGUAUUCUUUCUAAUAUCUACGAAUUUCACCUCUACACUAGAAAUUCUGCUUUCCUCUAUCAUACUCUAGCUGAAAAGUUUUGAUGGCAGUUCCAGAGUUAAGCUCUGGGAUUUCACCACCAACUUUUUCAACCACCUACGAACUCUUUAAGCCCAGUAAUUCCGAACUACGCUAGGUCCCUUCGUAUUACCGCGGCUGCUGGCACGAAGUUAGCCGGACCUUCUUAUUCGGGUACAGUCAUUUUCUUCCCCGACGAAAGAGCUUUACAACCCAAAGGCCUUCUUCACUCACGCGGCAUCGCUGCAUCAGAGUUUCCUCCAUUGUGCAAGAUUCCCCACUGCUGCCUCCCGUAGGAGUUUGGGCCGUGUCUCAGUCCCAAUGUGGCUGAUCAUCCUCUCAAAUCAGCUAUUGAUCAUAGUCUUGGUAGGCCAUUACCCUACCAACAAACUAAUCAAGUGCGGGCUCAUCCAAUGGUGCAUAAAGCUUUCUCCGUAAAGACUUAUCCGGUAUUAGCACAAGUUUCCUCGUGUUAUUCCAGGCCAAAGGGUAGAUACCCACAUGUUACUCACCCGUCUGCCACUAAGUAUUGCUACUUCGUUCGACUUGCAUGUGUUAGGCGUGCCGCCAGCGUACGUUCUGAGCCAGGAUCAAACUCU